UACGGGGGGGGCAAGCGUUGUUCGGAAUUACUGGGCGUAAAGGGCUCGUAGGCGGCCAACUAAGUCAGACGUGAAAUCCCUCGGCUUAACCGGGGAACUGCGUCUGAUACUGGAUGGCUAGAGGUUGGGAGAGGGAUGCGGAAUUCCAGGUGUAGCGGUGAAAUGCGUAGAUAUCUGGAGGAACACCGGUGGCGAAGGCGGCAUCCUGGACCAAUUCCGACGCUGAGGAGCGAAAGCCAGGGGAGCAAACGGG
RNAcentral lists this ribosomal RNA (253 nucleotides) under uncultured bacterium. Its description in RNAcentral is "partial 16S ribosomal RNA". It matches the Rfam family "Bacterial small subunit ribosomal RNA", at positions 524 to 776 of the family's 1533-position model. The record is from RNAcentral.